This 1242-nucleotide ribosomal RNA is filed under the name Triticum aestivum (bread wheat). RNAcentral's name for it is "partial small subunit ribosomal RNA". The record is from RNAcentral. Lineage: Eukaryota; Viridiplantae; Streptophyta; Magnoliopsida; Poales; Poaceae.
AUGCUGAUCGCGGCGCUCGACGGGUUGGUCGACCCCGUGGAUGUGUGCUUGGACUCGUUCCUGAUUUGGGUACAAAUCCAUGGCCUUCCGGUGCCGCUCAAAACUGAAGCUGUGGGCUGGGCUCUUGGGGACCAGCUGGGUGAGGUGAAGGCAGUGGCACACCAAGACAAUCAGAUUGUUGGUGAGCAUCUUCGGGUUCAUAUCCUCCAUAAGGUGGCUGAGCCGCUAAGGAAGACCGUCGAGUUCACUCCCUUUGGUAAAUCUGAGGAAAUAAGCUCCAAUGUAAAAUAUGAGAAGUUGCCUAAUUUUUGCUUGUGCUGUGGUAUGGUGGGUCACAUGACGGCCAAGAAUUGCAGCAUUCCGGCCGAGCUUCGCAAGGCGAUCUAUUCCAUCGAGCUCAAAGCACCGUCAUGGGGUGGGCUGUUUCGGCGGCACAUUGACUUCUGGGGCCUUCCGGGUGCCGGGGAAGAUGAAGAGGACACAGAGAAGGCCAAGCUACCGGACAAGAUGAUCUCUAUGGUGGCUACGGCGGUCAAGAACCUGUCUGUGGCUGCUGCUCCGGUGGUGUCCGUGGCUCCUUUCGGGAAGGCGGUGGGUUCCACGACGGUCGUUGACCCGGGGCUGCGUGUGCUUGGCAUAUCCCAGGAAGGGAGUUCGGUGCUUGCUGGUUCUGGGUCCAAUGGACAGCUUCAGCAGGUGGUGCCCGAGCAGGCACUUGUCUUUGGGGAUGCCUCUACUUUGGCUGGGGGGGCCGUUUUGGACGGCCAGCUUGCCCAAGGCGCAUCCCUCUUCAUCAACACGGGAACUCCAGGGGCGCCGCCUGCGGUGGCUACCGCUGGUAGCGGGCUUGGGGUGCAUUCCUACAUCAUGCCUGGUGCACCCUGGGCGUCCAAGGAGGGGCUAGUUGAAGCUCCUACCGAGGUGGUGUUGCCGGGUGUGAAGGCCCCGGCUACUUCUGUUGCAGCUGCGCCGUCUAUAUGGAUGAUCAGGUCCAGGUUCCAGGAGAGGUGCAGACCGGCGACUCCAACCUUUCUGCACCUUCUAGGCUGCUGCCGGGGGGGCGGUGGUGGGUUCAAUGCUGGCGGACCAUGGAGGACAGUGUCUUUGCGUCGACGCAAAGGGAGUGGAGACCAUUUGGGGUUGCUGGAAGCGCGUCCACAGAGAAGAGCGCGAGGAGCAUGCUGUGGUGCAGUAUGCCGGUGUCAAGCAUGCCAUGUUUGGUGUGCCUACCCCACCGAAUAG